CGGUUACCUUGUUACGACUUGAUGGACGCUAGCGGGAGGCCUAAUACAUGCAAGUCGAACGGUAACAGGGUAGCAAUAUCGCUGACGAGUGGCGUACGGGUGCGUAACACGUACACAACCUGCCCAAUACUGGAGCAUAGCCUCGGGAAACUGAGGGUAAUUCUCCAUAAUAUAUUAGAAUGGCAUCAUUUUAAUAUUAAAGUAACAACGGUAUUGGAUGGGUGUGCGUCUGAUUAGCUAGUUGGUGUGGUAACGGCUCACCAAGGCAACGAUCAGUAGCUGGUCUGAGAGGAUGAUCAGCCACACGGGCACUGAGACACGGGCCCGACUCCUACGGGAGGCAGCAGUAGGGAAUAUUGGACAAUGGAGGAAACUCUGAUCCAGCCAUCCCGCGUGAAGGAUUAAGGUCCUAUGGAUUGUAAACUUCUUUUCUUUGGGAAUAAAAUCUCCGAUUCCUCGGAGCUUGAAGGUACCAGGGGAAUGAGCACCGGCUAACUCCGUGCCAGCAGCCGCGGUAAUACGGNAGGGUGCAAGCGUUAUCCNGGAUUNCACUGGGUUUAAANGGGUGCGUAGGUGGNUUUUGUAANGUCAGUGGUGAAAGCCUACAGCUUAACUGUAGAANUUGCCAUUGAUACUGCUUAACUUGAAUCAAGUCGAAGUGGAUGGAAUAGANUCAUGUAGCGGUGAAAUGCUUNGAUAUGAUUUNAGAACACCAWUUGCGAAGGCAGUUCACUAGGCUUGUAUUGACACUGAGGCACGAAAGCGUGGGGAUCAAACAGGAUUAGAUACCCUGGUAGUCCACGCCCUAAACGAUGUAUACUCGACAUAUGCGAUACACUGUAUGUGUCCAAGCGAAAGCGUUAAGUAUACCACCUGGGAAGUACGUCCGCAAGGAUGAAACUCAAAGGAAUUGGCGGGGGUCCGCACAAGCGGUGGAGCAUGUGGUUUAAUUCGAUGAUACGCGAGGAACCUUACCUGGGCUAGAAUGCAGAUUGACCGCUCUUGAAAGAGGGCUUUGUAGCAAUACACAGUCUGUAAGGUGCUGCAUGGUNGUCGUCAGCUCGUGCCGUGAGGUGUUGGGUUAAGUCCCGCAACGAGCGCAACCCCUUUUCUUAGUUGCCAGCGGUUCGGCCGGGGACUCUAAGAAUACUGCCUGCGUAAGCAGAGAGGAAGGAGGGGAUGACGUCAAAUCAUCAUGGCCUUUAUGCCCAGGGCUACACACGUGCUACAAUGGUAGGUACAGAGGGUUGCCACACAGCAAUGUGGAGCUAAUCUCAAAAAGCCUAUCUCAGUUCGGAUUGCAGGCUGCAACUCGCCUGCAUGAAGCUGGAAUCGCUAGUAAUCGCAAAUCAGCAAUGUUGCGGUGAAUACGUUCCCGGACCUUGCACACACCGCCCGUCAAGCCAUGGAAGUUGGGUGUACCCUAAGACGAUAACCGAAAGGAGUUGUCCAAGGUAAAACCAGUAACUGGGGCUCUGAGCCAGGAUCAAACUCU
RNAcentral lists this ribosomal RNA (1495 nucleotides) under uncultured bacterium. Its description in RNAcentral is "bacterial SSU rRNA". The record is from RNAcentral.